GGUCUCAUUAUCACAGUAUCAGACCACUUCCUAUGCUGGAACAUUGUGAUCCUUAUGACAUCCCUGCAGCAGGACGUGGAGACCUCAGGCACCAGGAGCAGAGUACUUGCAGUGGGUCAUCCCACAACAGCAACUAAACAUCCUGUUCCAGUGUUGAGAGGAAUCUGGCCCUGCAGACAUUCACCUGUGACUUUCCUCAUUGUCUUUAUUUUUCUUGAUGCAAGCUGACAUACAGACAGAGCCCUACCAUCUAUGCUACAGUGGUUGGAGGCCCAAGGUGAGAGGAGCCUUGUUGCAUAGCAUGUACUGGCAGAGCAGUGCAGCCAGCACAGUUAAAGAACUGUCAAGGAUAGAGCAUACAAACCCUCUAAAGGUAAUAUUUCUGUGCUAUGAAGUGCUUUCUGCUGCUGGACUUCUAAUAUCCAAAUUCUUCCAUUUAUUCAGAAAUCAUGGCAGUAUGUGUUACUCUGAGAGCAAAGAGUUAGCAGAGUUAACAGUUGCUGGAGGCCAGGUGAGAUGAACACAGCUCACUUUAACAAUUUACAUUUGUUGGCCAUUUUGUGUACUAAUGUUCUCCCAGUGGAAUGCUACCAUAGCUGGGAAGGGAAACUGUCCUCCUAGCACCACACAUAGGCAAGGGUUGUAGCUGCUAGCAUGUUAAACUGAGUCUCGGAGCUCUGUAAAUGGUUGUGGCACGUGUGGAUAGAGAAAGAAAAAAAGAAAUGUCACUCAUCAGGACUUUGACACUGUGAAAUAACAGUGAGAAACAGUGAAGAGAGUGUAAGAGCCUCAAAGCAGGAAAGAUCUCUGCGAAGUCUUCCCUGAUCAGUAACCAACAUGACCCACAGCGCUUCACUGAGAGAGGGGCAGGGAGUUUAAAUCAAACACACAUAGAGACCUUUGUACCAACAAGCAGAAGGUCUUCCUGGGCUUUCUCAGGCGUGUGAUGAGUUUUGGGGCAGCUGGAGCUAAGCAGCUCCUAGGCGCGGAGCUGGCUGUGUAACCCCAGCAUUUUUGCGGCUGUCAUAAUGUCCCACCAUGAGCUGAUUUUGACCAUCUUCCACACAGGUUAGGAGGUGUACAGUGUUUCCUAAGGUGUGUGACAGGCUUUUAUUGUUCCUCAUGCCACCAUAUGUGGCUGAUAGUUUGCCAAGACCAAGUAGGCAGCAAGGAAAGCCAACACUUAGAGCACAUGGCAGAAGAGCUGCUCUCCGUUCCCUCCGAGGUAGUGUAAAUCCUGGGUGUGAGCAGCACUAAUUAGUUCCCAUUAUGGGCCAGCACAGUGAGUGUCACAUGGAGGUGAUUAGCUCAAGCACAAUGUAUUGAAGCAGGAGAUUCCUUUGACAUUUUGGCCUGCAUUUCCAGGGGCUCACUCUAGCAGUGAUUUGGCAAAUGAAAAUUAGUACUGGGUAAAGGCCCAAUGUGAGACGCGCAGUAGAAAGAUUAGCACUUAGUCCCACUGGGUCUGCUGUUGCUCACAGCCCCCACAUCCUGCUGUGGUCCAUGAAGUGUGACCUCGAGGGCUGGGGCAGGAAGGUCCAAAUUGUGACCUGGGCAUUGGUGGCUUGGUUAGGUCAUGGAACUGCUAGCUCUGUAUGAUGGUCUUUAGGCUCCAUGUCUUUUGGAUGUCCAUCACACGUGUAAGUAAGUAGCCAACUCCCAGCCCACCACUGCCUAAUUCUGGGAGAUCCUUGUAGUAUGGAAGGAAGCUGAAACGUAGGCCAUGAGUUGUAUCAGAUAAGGCUGGGCUUUGGCUCACUACGCAUCUGUUUGUGACUUUCCCCUGGUGUUGUGGGACUGGGAGCUCCCCAGCUCAUCCCAGAAGGCCCCACUGCUGGGCUGCAGUGUGUAAUUAUAAAGUUAACAUUGGGCUGGUGUUGCUGAUGCUUUGCUGUUGGCCCACAGGCAGGCUGCCUGUAUGUGAGUGCAGUGCUAGAUAGCAGUCCCAUGGCAUAAGGCUUUUU
This is a long non-coding RNA of Pavo cristatus (Indian peafowl), 1964 nucleotides long. Lineage: Eukaryota; Metazoa; Chordata; Aves; Galliformes; Phasianidae. The record is from Ensembl.